GUAAACGGCGGCCGUAACUAUAACGGUCCUAAGGUAGCGAAAUUCCUUGUCGGGUAAGUUCCGACCCGCACGAAAGGUGUAACGACUUGCGCACUGUCUCAACGAGGGACCCGGUGAAAUUGAAGUACCUGUGAAGAUGCAGGUUACCCGCGACUGGACAGAAAGACCCCAUGGAGCUUUACUGUAACCUGAGAUUGGAUUCCGGUAAGAGAUGUACAGGAUAGUUGGGAGGCUGAGAAGUGAGUACGCCAGUAUUCACGGAGCCGCUGGUGGGAUACCAACCUUGUUUUAUUGGAAUUCUAACGAGAAGCGUAACGAGCUUGCGGACAGUCUCAGGCGGGCAGUUUGACUGGGGCGGUCGCCUCCGAAAGAGUAACGGAGGCGCCCAAAGGUUCCCUCAGCGCGGACGGAAACCGCGCGAAGAGUGCAAAGGCAGAAGGGAGCUUGACUGCGAGACGGACAGGUCGAGCAGGGACGAAAGUCGGGCUUAGUGAUCCGGUGGUAGAGAGUGGAAUUGCCAUCGCUCAACGGAUAAAAGCUACCCUGGGGAUAACAGGCUUAUCUCUCCCAAGAGUCCAUAUCGACGGGGAGGUUUGGCACCUCGAUGUCGGCUCAUCACAUCCUGGGGCUGAAGUAGGUCCCAAGGGUUGGGCUGUUCGCCCAUUAAAGUGGUACGCGAGCUGGGUUCAGAACGUCGUGAGACAGUUCGGUCCCUAUCCAUCGCGGGCGUAAGAAACUUGAAAGGGGCUGCUCCUAGUACGAGAGGACCGGAGUGGACCGACCAAUGGUGUACCAGUCAUGGCGCCAGCCGUGCAGCUGGGUAGCUACGUCGGGGACGGAUAAACGCUGAAAGCAUCUAAGCGUGAAACCAGCCUAGAGAUGAGGUUUCUCAUUGUUUUAACAAGUAAGGUCCCACAAAGACGAUGUGGUUGAUAGGCCGGGAGUGGAAGUACAGCGAUGUACGGAGCGGACCGGUACUAAUAGACCGAGGACUUGACUUA
This 1001-nucleotide ribosomal RNA is filed under the name human gut metagenome. RNAcentral describes it as "bacterial LSU rRNA". It matches the Rfam family "Bacterial large subunit ribosomal RNA", at positions 1923 to 2925 of the family's 2925-position model. The record is from RNAcentral.